UCCCGAGCGUUNUCCGGAUUUAUUGGGCGUAAAGGGAGCGCAGGCGGUUUAGUAAGUCUGAAGUUAAAGGCAUUGGNUCAACCAAUGUAUGCUUUGGAAACUNUCAGACUUGAGUGCAGAAGGGGAGAGUGGAAUUCCAUGUGUAGCGGUGAAAUGCGUAGAUAUAUGGAGGAACACCGGUGGCGAAAGCGGCUNUCUGGUCUGUCACUGACGCUGAGGCUCGAAAGCGUGGGUAGCGAACAGGAUUAGAUACCCUGGUAGUCCACGCCGUAAACGCUGAGUGCUAGGUGUUAGGUCCUUUCCGGGACUUAGUGCCGACGCUAACGCAUUAAGCACUCCGCCUGGGGAGUACGACCGCAAGGUUGAAACUCAAAGGAAUUGACGGGGGCCCGCACAAGCGGUGGAGCAUGUGGUUUAAUUCGAAGCAACGCGAAGAACCUUACCAGGUCUUGACAUCCCGAUGCCCGCUCUAGAGAUAGAGUUUUUCUUCGGAACAUCGGAGACAGGUGGUGCAUGGUUGUCGUCAGCUCGUGUCGUGAGAUGUUGGGUUAAGUCCCGCAACGAGCGCAACCCUUAUUGUUAGUUGCCAUCAUUAAGUUGGGCACUCUAGCGAGACUGCCGGUAAUAAACCGGUGGAAGGUGGGGAUGACGUCAAAUCAUCAUGCCCCUUAUGACCUGGGCUACACACGUGCUACAAUGGUUGGUACAACGAGUCGCAAGCCGGUGACGGCAAGCUAAUCUCUGAAAGCCAAUCUCAGUUCGGAUUGUAGGCUGCAACUCGCCUACAUGAAGUCGGAAUCGCUAGUAAUCGCGGAUCAGCACGCCGCGGUGAAUACGUUCCCGGGCCUUGUACACACCGCCCGUCACACCACGAGAGUUUGUAACACCCAAAGUCGGUG
This 899-nucleotide ribosomal RNA is filed under the name uncultured bacterium. RNAcentral describes it as "bacterial SSU rRNA". It matches the Rfam family "Bacterial small subunit ribosomal RNA", at positions 532 to 1432 of the family's 1533-position model. The record is from RNAcentral.